UGAAAUGUGAUAAAGAUAGUUCUUGAGCCCAGAGGAGCUGUAUGGUGGAUUCUAUUUGUAAACAAUGACGAUGACAGCUCUCAUAAUGCUAUUUGUUAUGAAAGAACACGCUCUCAACCAAAGUGCCAUCACAACAGACACCUACAUCCAGAGGUGUGCUUCUGCAACAGAGUGCACACUUCCUUCGCAUCCUGGAAGCUGAGGAUUUGCAUUAUCUCGGAGCUCUGUGCCAGGAUCUGCUAUGGGUUACCUGCCUGGCAUUAUGAUAUUCUCAGAACUGCGUUUUCACUUUUUAUUGCACCUGAGAGAUCUUGUUACUCAGUACCUAUUGUGCAUGCAUCGCAUUUUCAUCAGUAUUAGUUUUCCUUAUUUAUGUGAUCACAUGCAAGACAUAAGAGGGGGCAUAAGAACUGAACUCUGCACCAGGAAAGCCCUGCUGCCAGCAUUCCAGCAUGACCCUCUCUGAGGUGAAAAAAGCAGGGACAGAGCCCCUUGGCAGCUCUUCACAAAAGCCCCCAGUGAAUGGAGAAGCAUUAUUGUGUUACCCCAGGCUGACAGUAGCUCUCUGAGUUUACCCAGGCCCAAAAUAAAUGGAGCUGAUGACAGACUGACUUCUGAUUU
Molecule: long non-coding RNA, 621 nt
Filed under: Cyanistes caeruleus (blue tit)
Lineage: Eukaryota; Metazoa; Chordata; Aves; Passeriformes; Paridae
Description: lncRNA (ENSCCEG00000016377.1)
Source: RNAcentral